GUCUCAGUUCGGAUUGGAGUCUGNAACCCGACUCCAUGAAGCUGGAUUCGCUAGUAAUCGCGCAUCAGCCAUGGCGCGGUGAAUACGUUCCCGGGCCUUGUACACACCGCCCGUCAAGCCAUGGGAGCCGGGGGUGCCUGAAGUACGUGACCGCGAGGAGCGUCCUAGGGCAAAACUGGUGACUGGGGCUAAGUCGUAACAAGGUACC
RNAcentral lists this ribosomal RNA (208 nucleotides) under uncultured bacterium. RNAcentral describes it as "partial 16S ribosomal RNA". It matches the Rfam family "Bacterial small subunit ribosomal RNA", at positions 1285 to 1500 of the family's 1533-position model. The record is from RNAcentral.